GCGUUUCUGUCCUGGAGCGUCCUGGCCCAGCGGCACCUUCCUCUUUCUGCUUGGGAUGCGGCCAGUGCGCUGCUCGUGCCCUCUGCUCUUGCCUUUCCUGGUGGUGCAUGCGGGCGUUGGGCACUCGGCCGGCUCGCUGCCGUCCCCGCGGUGGUUGUGGGGCACGUGGCAGGAGAUGCAGCCGGGUGGCAGUGCCAGGCGGGUGAGAAGCACCCGGGGCUGCCUCCGCUGCACCUCUUUGGUCAGAUGUGCACUGUGGGGCAACAGAGGUGCGGGGGCAGCCAGGGGGGUCGGCAGUGCCAGGCGGGUGAGAACCACCCGGGGCUGCCUCUGCCGCGCCUCUUCCAUCAGAUGCCCGCAGGGCAGCGGCUCAGAGAGCUGCCCAGAGGAUGCUGGCUGCCCCGAGAACGGCUCGCUGAGGGGCCUGGCGUCAGCCUGCGCCUCUCCACUGAGCUCCCUGCUGCUGCUGGGACGGUCACGGAGGGCUCUGGUGAAAGGAGAGGUGCUGAGCCUGCUGGGGACGGCUGGGAACGCCUGCUGGGGGACCUCCCGAGGACUCGACGCUUCUGCAAAACAAAGAACAUCCCCCAAAACCAGGACGGCAGCCUUCCCACAGCCACUCGGCGCGGACAUCCAUCCGCCACCGCUGCGGCCCCGGAACUCACCAACAAUCCAGCUGAGCAAACCGUCGAGUUCCAG
Molecule: long non-coding RNA, 699 nt
Filed under: Gallus gallus (chicken)
Lineage: Eukaryota; Metazoa; Chordata; Aves; Galliformes; Phasianidae
Description: lncRNA (ENSGALG00010020780.1)
Source: RNAcentral